RNAcentral lists this unclassified non-coding RNA (253 nucleotides) under uncultured Caryophanaceae bacterium. Its description in RNAcentral is "uncultured Planococcaceae bacterium contains 16S-23S intergenic spacer region". It matches the Rfam family "Bacterial small subunit ribosomal RNA", at positions 524 to 776 of the family's 1533-position model. Lineage: Bacteria; Bacillati; Bacillota; Bacilli; Caryophanales; Caryophanaceae. The record is from RNAcentral.
UACGUAGGUGGCAAGCGUUGUCCGGAAUUAUUGGGCGUAAAGCGCGCGCAGGCGGUCCCUUAAGUCUGAUGUGAAAGCCCACGGCUCAACCGUGGAGGGUCAUUGGAAACUGGGGGACUUGAGGCAGGUAGGGGAAGGUGGAAUUCCUGGUGUAGCGGUGAAAUGCGCAGAUAUCAGGAGGAACACCAGUGGCGAAGGCGACUUUCUGGUCUGUAACUGACGCUGAGGCGCGAAAGCGUGGGGAGCAAACAGG